Molecule: ribosomal RNA, 493 nt
Filed under: Auxenochlorella sp. P-1015
Lineage: Eukaryota; Viridiplantae; Chlorophyta; Trebouxiophyceae; Chlorellales; Chlorellaceae
Description: eukaryotic LSU rRNA
Rfam family: Eukaryotic large subunit ribosomal RNA
Source: RNAcentral
UUUUAACACCCAUGAGACGCAAGUAACCUGACUGGUGCCACGGGGGUCCUGUCCCCAGGCCCCCCCGCAGCAUCGACCAACCUGGCCGUAUUUACCAAGGGUUUGAGUACGAGCAUACCUGUUGGGACCCGAAAGAUGGUGAACUAUGCCUGAGCAGGGCGAAGCCAGAGGAAACUCUGGUGGAGGCUCGUAGAUGUGCUGACGUGCAAAUCGCUUUUCGGACUUGGGUAUAGGGGCGAAAGACUAAUCGAACCAUCUAGUAGCUGGUUCCCUCCGAAGUUUCCCCCAGGAUAGCUGGAGCUCAUGGUAUGCAGUUGUAUCGGGUAAAGCGAAUGAUUAGAGGUACCGGGGGCGCAACGCCUCCGACCUAUUCUCAAACUUUAAAUAGGUACGAAGUCUGGGUUGCUUGACUGAACCCAGGCCCUCAAUGCGAGCUCCAAGUGGGCCAUUUUUGGUAAGCAGAACUGGCGAUGCGGGAUGAACCGAAAGCUGA